Pelobates cultripes (western spadefoot toad) is the source of this 531-nucleotide non-coding RNA. The record is from the annotation of a GenBank genome assembly. Lineage: Eukaryota; Metazoa; Chordata; Amphibia; Anura; Pelobatidae.
GGGAAAGGCUGCAAGGAGACAUACACUGAGACACUAAGGGACAUUGGGAGACAUUAUGGCCAACACUGAGACACGAAGGGACAUUGGGAGACAUUAUGGCAGACACUGAGACACUAAGGGACAUUGGGAGACAUUAUGGCAGACACUAAGGGACACUGGGAAACAUUAUGGCAGACACUGAGACACUAAGGGACACUGGGAAACAUUAUGGCAGACACUGAGACACUAAGGGACAUUAGGAGACAUUAUGGCAGACACUGAGACACUAAGGGACACUGGGAGACAUGGGGCAUUGAGACACUGAUACAUAGGAACACUGAGACCUGGAGUAAUCGACACAUGGGGGCACUGAGUCAUGAGGGCACUGGGAGACAUGGGGGCACUGGGAGGAAUCCAUCUAUACAGCAGAAUCAAACUAAGUAGUUUUUGGUGAUUUUACAGCAUUUUCUCUUAUGUCACUCCUUGUGAUUUACAUCAUGUGAUGUCACCCAUACAUAUUUAAUUAUACAAAUUAGUAAGGCCGGUAUGUUU